AUGGACAACGAUCUAACAUGCACAAGAAAAAGACAUAUGGGUUCCUAUGAAUCCUACCAAGGAAAAGUCUUUAAGAAAACCAGAGCAAAUGUUCAGUUUACAGACCUUCCUGAGGAUAUGCUAUCUAUGGUUCUAUCAAAGUUGCCACUAAAGGAUGCUGUAAGGAGUGGCAUUCUGUCAAGUAAAUGGGAAGAUAGGUGGAUGUUAUGCCCCAAACUAAGAUUUGAUGUUCUCACAGUGUCUAAGAAUGUGUUUUACGAACAACAAUACACUCAGAAAUUCAUUAAGACCGUGAAUACAGUUAUGCAACAACAUCAGGGCAUGGUUGUUGAAGAGCUCAUGAUCAAAUUUGAGUUUGACUGCAGGAUACUAGAUCAUAUAAAUUCAUGGGUUGCUUUUGCUGUAUCAUCGCGGACGAAGAGCCUUGCCCUUGAUAUAGCACCAACCGAUUACUUCGGUCGUACUGAUCAGUACAGAUUUCCGCUCGAGCUUUUAGACAAUGGAAGCAUAUUUCAGCUUCGUCAUCUAAAACUUAGCUUUGCAUCAUUUGAACUGCCCCCUCAAUUCAGCGGUUUUCCAAAUCUGAGAACACUUGACUUGUACUUGUUAUGUGUCAGCCGGAAGGAUCUUCAAGAUAUGCUGUCAAAUUGCAUUAAUCUUGAGUGGUUUAGUAUGUUUAGAUGUCACCUGAAUGAUGAGCUGACAGUAGCUUGUCCAUUGUCAAAGUUAUUAUACUUCCGUGUUGUGCACUGCAAGGUAACAAAGAUAGUACUCAAUGCGGCAAAACUCAAAACUUUCAUUUUCUAUGGGCGUCUGUAUCCUGUUGACCUUGGGGAUGCUCCAAACUUGAAACACACAUUUCUUGAUUUCUAUACCCCAGUGACUCUUGAACAUGCUUUGACUAUACUUCCUAAAGUGCUUCCAAGUGUUCAGGAUCUGACAUUGCGUGCUUCACUCAAGAUGCCCUUGUUGAUGGAGACCUCUUGCAAGUUUUCCCACUUAAAAUGUUUAGAUUUGUGGUUGAUUUUAGAUGACAAAGAAGUUGACAAUAUUCUGUCUUUGGCCUCACUUUUGAGGGCUGCUCCUUUCGUUGAAACGUUAGGGAUGAAUGUGAGCAUAUUUCGUGUUUUUGGUGUCCCACAUCAUGUCUCAGAGCCUGUUAAAAGCAUUACCAGGUGUCCACAUAAUCAUCUAAAGAACCUGCAUAUUACAGGAUUUUCUGGAACAACAACACAACUUGAAUUUCUAGUGCAUGUUGUUGAAAGUGCCCAUGCCCUGGAGAUUUUGACGAUUAAUGGACCUAACAUAGCUCGCCGAGAUGAUAAAUGGCUAAUAAGAUUCCGUUCCCUAGUUCAAGAAUUGGAGAGGAAAUAUCUUCAUGAAAUAAUUUCACCAAAUGUGAAGCUCUCAAUU
This 1413-nucleotide ribosomal RNA is filed under the name Triticum aestivum (bread wheat). Its description in RNAcentral is "partial small subunit ribosomal RNA". The record is from RNAcentral. Lineage: Eukaryota; Viridiplantae; Streptophyta; Magnoliopsida; Poales; Poaceae.